RNAcentral lists this ribosomal RNA (367 nucleotides) under uncultured bacterium. Its description in RNAcentral is "bacterial SSU rRNA". It matches the Rfam family "Bacterial small subunit ribosomal RNA", at positions 168 to 528 of the family's 1533-position model. The record is from RNAcentral.
ACCGCAUACGACCUAUGGGUGAAAGCGGGGGAUUCGCAAGAACCUCGCGCUAUCGGAGCGGCCGAUGUCUGAUUAGCUAGUUGGCGGGGUAAAAGCCCACCAAGGCUUCGAUCAGUAGCUGGUCUGAGAGGACGACCAGCCACACUGGGACUGAGACACGGCCCAGACUCCUACGGGAGGCAGCAGUGGGGAAUUUUGGACAAUGGGCGCAAGCCUGAUCCAGCCAUGCCGCGUGCGGGAAGAAGGCCUUCGGGUUGUAAACCGCUUUUGGCAGGAACGAAACGGCGCGAGCGAAUAUCUCGCGUUAAUGACGGUACCUGCAGAAUAAGCACCGGCUAACUACGUGCCAGCAGCCGCGGUAAUACGU